UACGGAGGGGGCUAGCGUUGUUCGGAAUUACUGGGCGUAAAGCGCACGUAGGCGGCUUUGUAAGUUAGAGGUGAAAGCCCGGGGCUCAACUCCGGAACUGCCUUUAAGACUGCAUCGCUAGAAUUGUGGAGAGGUGAGUGGAAUUCCGAGUGUAGAGGUGAAAUUCGUAGAUAUUCGCAAGAACACCAGUGGCGAAGGCGGCUCACUGGCCCGAUACUGACGCUGAGGCACGAAAGCGUGGGGAGCAAACAGG
This 253-nucleotide ribosomal RNA is filed under the name uncultured bacterium. RNAcentral describes it as "partial 16S ribosomal RNA". It matches the Rfam family "Bacterial small subunit ribosomal RNA", at positions 524 to 776 of the family's 1533-position model. The record is from RNAcentral.